GAUGAACGCUGGCGGCGUGCCUAAUACAUGCAAGUCGAGCGAACGGACGAGGAGCUUGCUUCUCUGAUGUUAGCGGCGGACGGGUGAGUAACACGUGGAUAACCUACCUAUAAGACUGGGAUAACUUCGGGAAACCGGAGCUAAUACCGGAUAAUAUUUUGAACCGCAUGGUUCAAAAGUGAAAGACGGUCUUGCUGUCACUUAUAGAUGGAUCCGCGCUGCAUUAGCUAGUUGGUAAGGUAACGGCUUACCAAGGCAACGAUGCAUAGCCGACCUGAGAGGGUGAUCGGCCACACUGGAUCUGAGACACGGUCCAGACUCCUACGGGAGGCAGCAGUAGGGAAUCUUCCGCAAUGGGCGAAAGCCUGACGGAGCAACGCCGCGUGAGUGAUGAAGGUCUUCGGAUCGUAAAACUCUGUUAUUAGGGAAGAACAUAUGUGUAAGUAACUGUGCACAUCUUGACGGUACCUAAUCAGAAAGCCACGGCUAACUACGUG
Molecule: ribosomal RNA, 497 nt
Filed under: uncultured bacterium
Lineage: Bacteria
Description: partial 16S ribosomal RNA
Rfam family: Bacterial small subunit ribosomal RNA
Source: RNAcentral